Molecule: long non-coding RNA, 6839 nt
Filed under: Gossypium barbadense (sea-island cotton)
Lineage: Eukaryota; Viridiplantae; Streptophyta; Magnoliopsida; Malvales; Malvaceae
Description: long non-coding RNA (GBAR_LNC009967)
Source: RNAcentral
CGAUCUUCAGCUUGUAAUUUUCCUCUUGAAGAGAACUAAUACCCCAUAAUAACUUGGCCUUUUCAUGUUUAAAUUCAUGUCUCGCUAAUUCCAGCUCGGAUGGCAUUUCUUUUGAGAAAGGAUUCUGGAAAGUGUAACUCAUCAGUGAGAUUUGUUGACUAUUUACUCGUCAUUUUCUCCAUAAGUCAUAAUCCUGAGUGGUAGUAUCAGCAUAAAGGGCUAACUCUAUAAGGUGAAUUUCCUUCUAAGACUUUGUAGUAUCUCAGACUCUUUUCAUAUAGCCUUCACCCGUAAAGGCGAACUCUGAUUGUGCCAAUCCUCCGGUAGCAGGUAUGAACUGUCGUGAAGCAAACAGCCUUUGAACCAUUAACGGAGCGUAUCCAAUUCCUCUCCAUAAUCCUAGUAAAGGCACCAAAUCUUGGCUUCCAUAUUUAUAUAAUAUAACUGAAGGACGGAUCCAUGGUGCUCCCCAUUAAGUAACUGCGCGCAUCCGAUAAAACGUCCUUCCCCUUUCCUCCUACAACAACUUAAAGAUGUAAAAGUCUCGACCAAGAUAGCCAGGACGGGGUUGAUCCCUUGCUUCAAUCUUUCGAAGAAAUCCACUACCGCGACUUCUAUGUGCCCGAGAACUUUUAGGAAAACAAUUAAUCCGUAAAUGGCCAAAGCAAAUAGAUCAAUCCUCUUCAUAAUAUCUGGAUGGUUUUGAACUAAAUCUCGCAAAGAAAACCACAGAACACAACUAACUUCGUUCUUUUUAUUUAUUUGCUUUUCAGCCCACAUAUCAAUCAUUCUCGUCAACCUCACUAACUUUUUCUUGAAGGUCAUUGGUUUGGGCUCCUUCACAUAUAUCUUGCUGAAUUGUACAUUGUCAAUGCGAAGCUAGGCAGCAUACUCUUCUAUGGUCAGAGUCAUAUCUUCCUGAUUGAAAGUAAAGCACUGGUAAGUUGGGUCCCAGAAUUAAACCAUGGCUUGAAUCAACUGUUUGUCUAUAUUGAUGGCGAUCAAGUGAGCUAUAUCCCCGUAUUUUUCAGUAAAGAUGCCUCUAGUAUCUGAGUCCUACUGUUUCCAAAUCUGAGUCAAAUCCUCGAGAUUAUUUUGACGAACAUUUGUAGCUACUUGCUCGGGAAGAUUGGAGAUACAUCAUUCUGUUAAACUGUCCCCUUUCGCCUUCUGAGUUUUCAAAGACCAGUCUCGAACCACUGUAUUUUUCUCAGUCAUUUGUGUAAUUGACUCCUCCAUCAGAAACCUGUUUUUGGCAACCAAUCUCUAAUUAACACCUCCCUAAUCAAGAUGCCUAUGAUGCAUGAUGAAAAAUAAAAACAAAGACAAACAACUUUGGCUAGUAACCACAACAAAUAAGAACUGAGGAAAACUAUAGAAACUUCAACAAAUUAAGCUACCCGAUUCAAUUUCUUUCCAUAAACAGUGUAAUGUAAAGGAAAUGAAAGGCAAGAGCGUUUCUCCCGUGUACUUAUUUUAGUGACUAUUAACGGAAAGAGGUUCGGCGUGGCUCUAAUUAGGUGGCUCAUAUGGUUUACUAUAUGCGAUUUCGGUUCUAGACAGGUACUCGAAUUGUUCGUACUAUCGUCUACUAAAACUAGUACGAAGCCUCGGUCGUAGCCCAUCACAGGCUCACGAGUUCAAUUCGAGGGAUUACAUUUACUUAUGUCUAUGCAGAGGGACAAGUUAACUCACAAAAGCAUAAGUCAUAUGUUAUCCGAAAGUAUUCACUAGCCUAUGCGGAGGCACGAGUUAACUCACGAAGGCAUAGCGUUUACUUCGACUAAAGCGGACGAAACCUGGGUGGAGAGCUCAUGUUAUGCAAAAAUGCAAGUGCACGGUGUGUGGGGAGAAACUCACAAACAUUUACGUUUUACUUAAAAACUAAACUAAAAAAACUAAAACCAUAAGAACUUAGAGCCGAAAAUCAACAAGAUGAAAUAAAUUAGAAGAAUAUUUACAACAUGAUGCAAAUGCAUGACUUUUCAAAACAAAAUUUAAGGAUCACGACUAAAUAUUAAUUUGAACAAGGAAUUUUGAAAAUUUUGACAACACGUGUUUAAUUCAAGACUCGACUCUCAAAAAUGUCCCCAGUGGAGUCGCCAGUUGUAGCGACGUAAAUUUUUUUUGCUUUGGUCGUUAAUUGAGGCGAUUUAUUGAAAAUUUGAAAAACUGACUUUUGAUUUUUUUUUAAAAAGGGAGUCGCCACCGAUCCUUUUUCCUAGGUGUGAUCGGACACUUGAUAAAUCUUCGUUUUAACAAAAAAAAAUUAUUUUUGAUAAGAAGGAAGACGAGUUUAGGUCUACGUGAAAGUUCAAAGAAAAAUAGGGUUCGGAAGUCGGUUACGCGCGGGGAAGGUAUUAGCACCCCCGCGACGCCCAAAAUUGGUAUCUCAUUAAACAUGUGUUGUCUCAAUUUUCAAAAAUGCGAGUUCAAUGUAACGUUUAAUCGUGAUCCGAUCAAAACAUGAGAAAUUUCAAGUUUAUGGUUUUUUUUGAAGGAUGUCCCGUUUUUAACACGAGCCAACGUGAUUCACCCAACAUAGCGAUGAAAUCACAAACUUAAUGUUAAAAUCGGUACAUUUCCUUAUUUAUUGAAAUUAAUAAAAAACAUGAAUAAAAAUAUUUUUUAAAAUAAAAAUUCAUAAAUAAAUAAACGGUGCAAACAAUGAUAUAAUGAAUGAAAAAUACUAACAUAUAAUAUAAAAGCAAUAGGAUAAAAAUAAAAACAAUAUUUACAAUAAAAAGAAAAUAAUAAUAAAAAAUAAUGAUAUGCUAAUAAUAUAAUAAGAAAAGCAAACUGAUACGGAAUGGGUAAGAAACAAAAAAUAAAGGAGUUAGAAAUACAUUGAAGUAAAUAAUAAAUAUGAUAAUAAUAUUAAAAACAAUAACAAUGCAUGCGAUAUUAAAUGUAAUAGUAAUAUUAAACACGAAAUAAAAACAACGAAUAUAUAUACAUAUAAUAAUAGUUAGUAAAGUGACGAAAACAUGAUAUUAAAAACACUAAUAAUGUUACCUAUAUACAUACAUAUAUAUAUUAAAAUAUAAACAUAAUAAUAGUAUUACAAAGUAUAUAUAUAAUAUUAAAAAUAUAUACAUAAUAUAUACAUAUUAGAGAUAAUAAUAAUAUUAAAAACAACUAUUAAUAAUACUACAUAAGUAUACACAUAUAUAUUAAAAAUAAAUACAUAAUAAUAUUAAAAGUAUAUACAUAAUAUAUAUAAAAUAUAGUUGUCGAAACCAUCCCUCGAUUUAAAAUAUUUUAGAUUUAAAAAAGGAGAGAUCGACUUUUUGAAAAAUAGCAAGAUGGAGUCGCCACCGUUCUUUUGUUUUGAUGUGAUCGGAUCACCUAAGGAUUUGGUUAUUUUAAUGAGACAUUUUCAGUUUACUAAAACACAGAUUAUGGUCUACGAAAAUUUUAGAAAACGGGCUCGGGAGUCGGUUACGUAUGAGGAAGGGUUAGCACCCUCACUAUGCCCAAAAUUGGUACCAAAUCGAUUAAAUACUGUCCUUAUGUCUAAAGUUAAAAAGUUUUUGAAAUGUGGUUCUUCUUUAUGACGUUUGAGUAACCCAAGUUGGUUGCCAAAAUCUUCUUGUUUCAAUAUUCGAAAGCUUAUAAUUCGAGAAUUACAAAAGGAUGCUCAACUAUUUAGUCCAACGAAAAAUCGAAACCCAGCACAGUAGGGUACGAUUUCUCGAAUUUCCAAACAUUGACCAUUGCCUUACCUUAUAAAAUACGUGUGAAAUUCCGAGGAGAUAUUCGAUUAUUUUGGACAAAUGAAAAAGCGCAACCCAACACGAUAGGGCUCGAUUCUCAAAUUGCCAAUCAUCGAACAUCGCCUACAUUUUGAAAGAUUUUAGAAAAUGUGAGUGAAAUUCCAAUGGGAUGUUCAACUGUUCCGAACCAAUGAAAAAGCGCAACCCAGCACGAUAAGGCACGAUUCUCAAAUAGCCAAACAUUGAACAUCGUCUUUGUUUUUAAGUAUUUUUUUUAUAUAAACAUGAGUGAGAAUAUAAAGGAAUGUUCAAUCGUUUUGAGCAAACGAGAAAUCACAACCCAUCACGAUAGGGCAUGAUUCUCGGAUUGUCAAACGCCAAAUAUUGCCUUCAUUUUAAAUAAUUUUUAGAUGAUAUGAAUGAAAUUUUGAAGGGAUACUGGAUUAUUUUGAGCAAACGCGAAGUUGCAACCUAACACGUUAGGACACAAUUUCGCGAAUUGCUAAAUAUCGAAUCUCGUCUUCGUUUUGAAGAAUUUUUGAAUGAAUGAUUAUAAAGCUAGCUUAAGACGUAUUAAUUCGAUUUGAAAUAAGGUGAAAUUAAUCAUAAGAUUCGGGUUUUAUAGAACCACAUUUCAAAAAUCAAGAUGGAAAACGAUGAUAUAAGGUAAUAGGCAUAUACGAGAUGUGAUCAACUAACAUACUAAUAAUUAAACGGGACUAAUCUAAAAAGGUAAUGCGAUUGCAAUAAUACAUGGAGAGUAGUCGAUGUGAUGACAUAUAAGAAUGCGCAAAUACGACGUAGCAAAUAUACAAGAAGUAUCGUGAAGAUAAUUAACACAUGAGGUACCAACGAUAUAGAAUCAACACGACACAAAAAUAAUGGACUAAAAAUGAUGGACUAACAAUCAAGUAAUAUAUGCUAGAAUUUGAAACAAUUUAUAUAUAUAUAAAAAAAAGUGUUUAUAUACGUACGAGUGAAUUUUGAAGUAACUAUAUACAAAAUAACAUGAAAUUAAAAAAUAUGAAUUAUAUAUAUAGAAAAAUGGAUUGAUUUUAUCACAAAUUAUAUAUAUAUAUGUAUGUAUGAAAAUAAACUAGAAACAAUUGCUUGUAAAAAAACAUAGAAACAUAUUCAAGAUUGAAUUAUUCUUAUUAUAAAUUAUGAUGGACUUAAAAGCACGCUUAUGUAUAAAGAAAACUAUAUAUAUGUAAAAUAUAGGUUUGAUAAUGUAUGUAAAUCGAAAAACAUGUACUAAUGUAAAUGAAUAACUUAAAUUUUAUGUAAACAUAUAUACAAAGCAUAUUUGAAUAGCAAGAAUAUGUAUUAAAAUACAUGAUCAAAUAUAUAUAUAGGAAAUAAGUGGUAAAUAAAGUGAAUAAUGGCUUAAGAUAUAUAUAUAUAUAUAUACAUACAUAUAUAAGUACAAGAUACAUAAUAUGAAAGAAGAACCUUAAAGUAGGUAAUAAAUAAAAUAUUUUAAAGUAAAUAAAUAAAGUUUAAGAAUAUAUUUAAAAUAAAAUAUAAAUAGUUUAAAAUAUAAUUCAUGAAAGGAAAUCUGAAAUAGAACAUUGUAUACAUAAAAAGAUUUAUAUAUGAAUAAUAUAUAUAUAUAUAUAAAAACGUUAAAAAUAGAUAAUGUUAAUAUAUACAUAAAAGUUUAAAACAAUAAUAUUUAAAUAAUAAAACUCACAACAAAUAAUGAAACAAUCUUUAAAACAUAUAUGCAUAAAAAAAUAUUUAAAACAAAAUGUAUAUAUAACUAUUCAAAAUGAGUAACAUGAACAAUUUAAUACAAAGUUUAAAAUAACUACGAUGGUUUGAAAUAAACAAAAAGGUUUGCAUGUACAUGAACAAGGACUUGAUUGAAAUUAAACUGAAACAACAAGGCAAAACUAAGAAAAUAGAACGAAUAACAAAGGGGGACUAAAUCCUAACGCAAGCAAAUGCCUGGGGUCUAAAAUUGGCAAUAUACCAGACCUCGGAGUGUUGCGUUUAGAUACGGGCCCAAUUACAAACAAACGCAAAUCAUCAGUAUAGAUUAAAAGCAAAUGGGAUGAUGACGCAGGAUGAUUUGGAUGGGGUACGAAAGUAGAGGGGCCAAAAUUGCAAAUAAUCCCUCACCGCGAAAACACGUGGGUCAUCAGGACCACGAACUGGAUCGGGUCGGGCCUUGGCUACACGACGCCGUAUUUGAGCUACAGAGACAUGCUCGAACGGCGACGUUUUCAAAUCACCAUAAAGGCUCAUUUAGGCUUGCCCGCCGAACCCUAGCCUCUCUUCCCAAUCGUCAGCCUCACACUUUCUCCUUCCAGCGUCGAUUCAUCUCCAUCAGAUAGAUGCUCUUAGAGCCUGGAGGAAUCUUGGCCGGAGAUCCCUCCUCAACUUAAAUUUCAACGAAGAGAGGAGGAGAAAUCUGUAGCGUGCUCGCGCGGUAAGGUUUCUCAGUCACUGUUCUUACUAUGUUUUUUAAAAAAAAUGGUGAAUGAUUCCCAUAGAAUACGAAACGAUGUGAAGAAAGGUAAAGAGAUUCGAAGGAAGAAAUCACAUCUGCUAUUUUUUGCUUUCUAUUACGUGUAUAUUCUGUGAAUAUGCGUUCGUAUUGCUUGUGUGUAACCGAUUACAAGGAUCAAAACUUCUGCUUUAUAGCCGAAGAAAAAAGGAAAAUCAAAAUAAAACACAAUAUUUCUCUUCUAUUUCCUAUUUGCUGCUGUUCUGCCUCGUUUGUUUGCAGGUACGAGUACGGGGCUGUGCGUUGGCCCUUGGCACGAGGCAUACGGGGCUGUGCUGGCGCGGGUACGGAGGUGGCUGACGUGGGGGCUGGGGCUUGGCUACCUGGUGAAGGCUGCGGCGCGAGGACCCCUCUGCCCUAGGGUUUGCCGAAGUUUGGUUUGGCUCUCGGGCUAUUUGGGGCUCAUUUUAAGUGUUGGGCCACUAGAUUUGGGCUAGAGGGACUCUUUUGGAUAUUUGGGUUUGUGAUAGGGCAUUAGGCCAUGUAAUUGGGCUGUUAUAAAACUUGGGUUUUAUAUUUAGGUCUAGUUUAUGUAAUUGGGUUGGGCCAUGUAAUGAUUUGGUUUGUAAAAAGACAUUAAUUUGGACUGUUUUAUUUAUUUUAUGUUUAUG